AUUGAACGCUGGCGGCAGGCCUAAUACAUGCAAGUCGAGCGAUAACAGGAGGAACUUUCCUUCUUUACUUACGAGUGGGGGGGGGGUGAGAAAUGUGGGUAACCCUCCCUUAUGGAGGGGGAUAAUUCCGGAAACCGGUACCAAAUCCGGCAUAACGUUUCAACACCAAAAUGCAGGACUUACGGGCGUCUUGCCAUCCGAUUUUCCCAGAUCGGAUUAGCUAGUAGGUGGGGUAACGGCUUACCUAGGCCACGAUCCGUAGCUGAUCUGAGAGGGUGACCAGCCACACUGGAACUGAGACACGGUCCAGACUCCUACGGGAGGCAGCAGUAGGGAAUCUUGCGCAAUGGGCGAAAGCCUGACGGAGCAACGCCGCGUGAAUGAUGAAGGUCUUCGGAUCGUAAAACUCUGUUAGUAGGGAAGAAGAAAUGUGUAAGUAACUAUGCACGUCUUGACGGUACCUAAUCAGAAAGCCACGGCUAACUACGUG
This 490-nucleotide ribosomal RNA is filed under the name uncultured bacterium. RNAcentral's name for it is "partial 16S ribosomal RNA". It matches the Rfam family "Bacterial small subunit ribosomal RNA", at positions 30 to 507 of the family's 1533-position model. The record is from RNAcentral.